RNAcentral lists this ribosomal RNA (255 nucleotides) under uncultured bacterium. RNAcentral describes it as "partial 16S ribosomal RNA". It matches the Rfam family "Bacterial small subunit ribosomal RNA", at positions 524 to 776 of the family's 1533-position model. The record is from RNAcentral.
UACGGGGGGAGCAAGCGUUGUUCGGAUUUACUGGGCGUAAAGGGCGCGUAGGCGGCGUGACAAGUCACUUGUGAAAUCUCCGGGCUUAACUCGGAACGGUCAAGUGAUACUGUCGUGCUAGAGUCCGGAAGGGGCGAGUGGAAUUCCUGGUGUAGCGGUGAAAUGCGCAGAUAUCAGGAGGAACACCAAUGGCGAAGGCAGCUCGCUGGAACGGUACUGACGCUGAGGCGCGAAAAGCGUGGGGGAGCGAACAGG